Molecule: long non-coding RNA, 577 nt
Organism: Canis lupus familiaris (dog)
Lineage: Eukaryota; Metazoa; Chordata; Mammalia; Carnivora; Canidae
Exons: 2
Source: RefSeq, a predicted model, not a curated record
GAUCGCGCCCUGGGCCAAAGGCAGGCGCCAAACCGCUGCGCCACCCAGGGAUCCCCGGGCAGAAAAGUGAAUCAAUGCUGAAGCUUUCAUAGGACGGACAAGAGGAAACCCACAGACCGAACUCAUCCUUCCUUCAUAUGCCUUCGACAGCAAACUUCUGGGAUCAUAAGAAAUGACUUUUUCAGGAUGCAUAUGAUUCAAAAACAAUUUCUUAUAAGAUUCAGUAGGGGGGAAAAAUCAGUUCCAGAGCUUGUGGAGGCUUUAUCUCAAUUCUGAGUAUGCAUCGCCUCACCUUCUAUGGACCUAACUCUCUCUAGGCACACCUGUCUCUAACAUCAACAGCAUAAACCUCAAAUAACCCAACUCUCAUCUUCUCCUGAUCCCAUCUCAGUUCAUACUUAUCAGGUGAAAAACUGAUAUCACCAGUGUGGUCAUCAUCAGCUUUCCUUUUUUGCAGCAUGUCAGCAUCUGACCUCUCCCCUCCCGGACAGCUUGGUUUGAGGGAUUUGAAGUUUAAACUAUAUUUUAUCUCUGUACCUUCCUGAUAUUGGUAAUAAAAUAGGUUGGCUGGAAGACA